Molecule: long non-coding RNA, 422 nt
Organism: Orcinus orca (killer whale)
Lineage: Eukaryota; Metazoa; Chordata; Mammalia; Artiodactyla; Delphinidae
Exons: 4
Source: RefSeq, a predicted model, not a curated record
CAAGGAGACACCAAAGAAAGAGGCAGAGAACUCCAGGCUUCAUCCUUGAAAAUGGCUCCCACUGCCUGCACAGCAGGCAGAACAAACAUUCCCAAGACAGAGGAGAGGUUGAGGAGCCUCCCAUUAGCCAGCUCCAGCCCACGGGUCACCCUUUGGUCACGUCCUCUCCAUGACCUCCUCCAGCAACCACGCAUUCCCUGUAGCAUCUUUAUAAGCAAACAAAGCCAGGUUGGAGGAUCAGCCCCUAUGAGGAACAUGUCUUUCUCAACGCAGAGAGGGAACAAAAGAGCUGGCAGAAGUACGUAAAGCCUCUAAAAACUUCUCUUCAGGGCUGGCAUCUGAAAUUUCCACUCAUACUUUAUUGGUCAAAGUGGAUCGUGUGGCCAAGCUCAAAGUCAGUGGGCAAGAACAGCGUCUUACUC